UGGGGAAUAUUGCACAAUGGGCGCAAGCCUGAUGCAGCCAUGCCGCGUGUAUGAAGAAGGCCUUCGGGUUGUAAAGUACUUUCAGCGGGGAGGAAGGGAGUAAAGUUAAUACCUUUACUCAUUGACGUUACCCGCAGAAGAAGCACCGGCUAACUCCGUGCCAGCAGCCGCGGUAAUACGGAGGGUGCAAGCAUUAAUCGGAAUUACUGGGCGUAAAGCGCACGCAGGCGGUUUGUUAAGUCAGAUGUGAAAUCCCCGCGCUCAACCUGGGAACUGCAUCUGAUACUGGCAAGCUUGAGUCUCGUAGAGGGGGGUAGAAUUCCAGGUGGAGCGGUGAAAUGCGUAGAGAUCUGGAGGAAUACCGGUGGCGAAGGCGGCCCCCUGGACGAAGACUGACGCUCAGGUGCGAAAGCGUGGGGAGCAAACAGG
This 429-nucleotide ribosomal RNA is filed under the name Chloroflexota bacterium. RNAcentral's name for it is "Chloroflexi bacterium partial 16S ribosomal RNA". It matches the Rfam family "Bacterial small subunit ribosomal RNA", at positions 355 to 776 of the family's 1533-position model. The record is from RNAcentral. Lineage: Bacteria; Bacillati; Chloroflexota.